RNAcentral lists this long non-coding RNA (1068 nucleotides) under Homo sapiens (human). RNAcentral's name for it is "HSALNT0307420". The record is from RNAcentral. Lineage: Eukaryota; Metazoa; Chordata; Mammalia; Primates; Hominidae.
ACCAUGAGAUGUUUUCUACUGUAGAAACUUUCUCAUUAGAAAUAGCCCAUUUAUACAGGGGACUGGCUAAUGUUUUUCUAUGAGUAUCAUUAGCCAGUGUCUCAAAGUGGUGAAGAGUAAGUAUAUAGCAUCUUUCAAAAGACUGCAACCUGGAACAAGGAGAGACAAAGGGAAGGAGGAGUCUGGAGCCAUAUUGAAGAUGAAAUUGAGAUAUGGACUAGGUGGUGGAUCGUUUUUAUAAGAGGACAUAAAAGAGGAUGCUAAAGCUAAUUGCCACAAUCAGAACUCAAAGACCUAGCAAAUGCAAGGAUACAAUAAGAAGUCAGCAGUCUGCAACCCAGAAGAGGACCCUCACUGGAACCCAGGAAUGUUGGCACUCUGAACUUAGAUUUUCCAGCCUCUAGAAUGCCUUAUGCAAAUCCUGGAAGAUAUCAAUUCUGAGGGCUGGGGUGUAUCUUGAUCACCUUUGGAAUCUACCACUGCAUGGAGCACAGCACUUACCACCUAGUAGGUAAGCAACAAAUGCUUGCUUGUCAAUUGAUUUAUUCAGUAGACUCAGUGCUAUGUGUACAUUAAACACCUGGGGAGCUUUAAACAAUAAACGAGCAAACCAACAAAUGCUGCAUCAGCCUAGACCAACACAAUCCUGAUCUCUGGAUGUGGGAUCCCCGCACUGGUAAGUUUGUAAAGCACCACAGGUGAUACUAGUGCAUGGGGAAGAUUGAGAACUACUGGAUUCAUUAACCUGUUGCUUUACUUGGCUACAGUUCUGUUUGUUUCCAAGUUUGGAAGAAACAUAAUUGAAUCAUUUUGAGGAAUUCCAAUCCCUGACAAGAUGCCAGUGCUAUUUUACAGCAAGAGUAGACGAGGAAGGCUAUACUACGUGGUCCUGGGCAAGUUAUUUAAAUUCUCUGUGCCUCAGUUUUCUGAACCGUAAGAUGGGAAGAAUAAUAGUAACUACCUCUGGAGGCUGUUGUAAAAGUUAAAUGAUCUGAUCUAUGUAAAGCACUUAGAACAGUACCUGGUAUAUAAGUGUGUGAUAAAUAAAAUCCAAUAUGAAGAAGAGGA